Molecule: RNase P RNA, 315 nt
Filed under: Betaproteobacteria bacterium
Lineage: Bacteria; Pseudomonadati; Pseudomonadota; Betaproteobacteria
Description: RNase P RNA component class A
Rfam family: Bacterial RNase P class A
About the family: Ribonuclease P (RNase P) is a ubiquitous endoribonuclease, found in archaea, bacteria and eukarya as well as chloroplasts and mitochondria. Its best characterised activity is the generation of mature 5'-ends of tRNAs by cleaving the 5'-leader elements of precursor-tRNAs.
Source: RNAcentral
GAAGCUGGCCAGACAGUCGCUGGCAAAUGUUUCAGCUGCCAGAGGAAAGUCCGGGCUCCAUAGAGCAGGGUGCUGGGUAACGCCCAGGCGCCGCAAGGCGACGAACAGGACCACAGAGACGAGUCGUGACGGGUGGUCGAUAAGACUGCGCGUUGCGGGUGAAACGAGGCAACCUCCACCCGGAGCAACAUCAAAUAGGCGGACGACGACGUGGCUCGCCGAGUCCGCGGGUAGAUGGCUCGAGCCUCGGGGUAACCCGGGGCCUAGAGGAAUGACUGUCCACGACAGAACCCGGCUUAUCGGCCAGCUUCACUU